GAGCUCGAUGAGUAGGGCGGGACACGUGGUAUCCUGUCUGAAUAUGGGGGGCCCAUCCUCCAAGGCUAAAUACUCCUGACUGACCGAUAGUGAACCAGUACCGUGAGGGAAAGGCGAAAAGAACCCCGGCGAGGGGAGUGAAAAAGAACCUGAAACCGUGUACGUACAAGCAGUGGGAGCACGCUUAGGCGUGUGACUGCGUACCUUUUGUAUAAUGGGUCAGCGACUUAUAUUCUGUAGCAAGGUUAACCGAAUAGGGGAGCCGAAGGGAAACCGAGUCUUAACUGGGCGUUAAGUUGCAGGGUAUAGACCCGAAACCCGGUGAUCUAGCCAUGGGCAGGUUGAAGGUUGGGUAACACUAACUGGAGGACCGAACCGACUAAUGUUGAAAAAUUAGCGGAUGACUUGUGGCUGGGGGUGAAAGGCCAAUCAAACCGGGAGAUAGCUGGUUCUCCCCGAAAGCUAUUUAGGUAGCGCCUCGUGAAUUCAUCUCCGGGGGUAGAGCACUGUUUCGGCAAGGGGGUCAUCCCGACUUACCAACCCGAUGCAAACUGCGAAUACCGGAGAAUGUUAUCACGGGAGACACACGGCGGGUGCUAACGUCCGUCGUGAAGAGGGAAACAACCCAGACCGCCAGCUAAGGUCCCAAAGUCAUGGUUAAGUGGGAAACGAUGUGGGAAGGCCCAGACAGCCAGGAUGUUGGCUUAGAAGCAGCCAUCAUUUAAAGAAAGCGUAAUAGCUCACUGGUCGAGUCGGCCUGCGCGGAAGAUGUAACGGGGCUAAACCAU
RNAcentral lists this ribosomal RNA (788 nucleotides) under Shigella sonnei. Its description in RNAcentral is "partial 23S ribosomal RNA". It matches the Rfam family "Bacterial large subunit ribosomal RNA", at positions 401 to 1190 of the family's 2925-position model. Lineage: Bacteria; Pseudomonadati; Pseudomonadota; Gammaproteobacteria; Enterobacterales; Enterobacteriaceae. The record is from RNAcentral.